This is a long non-coding RNA of Mya arenaria, 498 nucleotides long. RefSeq lists it as uncharacterized. Lineage: Eukaryota; Metazoa; Mollusca; Bivalvia; Myida; Myidae. The transcript is spliced from 3 exons. The record is from RefSeq and is a predicted model, not a curated record.
CAGGGAAAUUUUCAAGGACAAGAACCAGUGCUGGUAAAAAUGUGGUCUCAUGUGGUUUUCCAUACCGGCAUUCAGCAAGGAUUUCAGAGAAAGGAAUACUGUCUCCAAAUCAUGAUGUGCCAAUAAGCCCCAGUUAGCUGUGCCUUUUUCCUCCCACCAAUAGUCCUUCAAUCUGAAUCCAGGAGAUGCAGCUCUGAAUCCAAUAUUUCAGGAGAAUGAAUAUAAAACUGAAGCCUUCAGGAAGUCAAUGCCACCAUGGUAUUGAUUUAUUCAGCUCUGAUGUACUCAGCUGUGAUGUAACAUGCCUUCAAGCCACUAUCCGAAGAACAUUCAGACGUUCUAAAUGGACCAUUGCCCUGUUGCCAUGGAAAUCAUUAUGAGGAGGAGCACACAAACUGUCACUUGUUUUGGAUAUCAGAUGUACCACGAACUGACCAUAAACUUUUCAGAUGCUCUGUUUAUUUCAUCAGCCAAUUUCGAUGUAAAUUUUACUGAAUA